This is a long non-coding RNA of Coregonus clupeaformis (lake whitefish), 233 nucleotides long. RefSeq lists it as uncharacterized. NCBI's taxonomy places the organism in Eukaryota, Metazoa, Chordata, Actinopteri, Salmoniformes, Salmonidae. The record is from RefSeq and is a predicted model, not a curated record. The transcript has 3 exons.
GGAGGACAGAGUGACACAGAGGAGAGGCAUCACAGCAAACCACAGCGCGGCAGACAGGGUGUGACCUCAACGGGUAGUGGCGGGGGAUCAGCUGGGGGUCAGAUGAGGCGUAUGUACAGUGCGGUCCCAGGGCGAGUGUACGUGGCCACAAGGGCCUACACUGCCCAUGGAGACAAAGAGCUUAGCAUCAGCAAAGGAGACAAAGUCAAAGUGUUGAGUGUGGGAGAGGGGGG